RNAcentral lists this ribosomal RNA (424 nucleotides) under uncultured cyanobacterium. Its description in RNAcentral is "bacterial SSU rRNA". It matches the Rfam family "Bacterial small subunit ribosomal RNA", at positions 356 to 795 of the family's 1533-position model. Lineage: Bacteria; Bacillati; Cyanobacteriota. The record is from RNAcentral.
GGGGAAUUUUCCGCAAUGGGCGAAAGCCUGACGGAGCAAGACCGCGUGGGGGAUGAAGGUUUGUGGAUUGUAAACCCCUUUUGAUUGGGAAGAAUACUGACGGUACCAAUCGAAUAAGCCUCGGCUAACUCCGUGCCAGCAGCCGCGGUAAUACGGAGGAGGCAAGCGUUAUCCGGAAUUAUUGGGCGUAAAGCGUCCGCAGGUGGUUUAUCAAGUCUGCUGUCAAAGAGUUUGGCUCAACCAAAUAAAGGCAGUGGAAACUGACAGACUGGAGUGCGGUAAGGGCAGAGGGAAUUCCUGGUGUAGCGGUGAAAUGCGUAGAGAUCAGGAAGAACACCGGUGGCGAAAGCGCUCUGCUGGGCCGUAACUGACACUGAGGGACGAAAGCUAGGGGAGCGAAUGGGAUUAGAUACCCCAGNUAGUC